This 349-nucleotide ribosomal RNA is filed under the name uncultured bacterium. RNAcentral's name for it is "partial 16S ribosomal RNA". It matches the Rfam family "Bacterial small subunit ribosomal RNA", at positions 355 to 696 of the family's 1533-position model. The record is from RNAcentral.
UGGGGAAUAUUGCACAAUGGGCGCAAGCCUGAUGCAGCCAUGCCGCGUGUGUGAAGAAGGCCUUCGGGUUGUAAAGCACUUUCAGCGAGGAGGAAGGGUAGUGUGUUAAUAGCACAUUGCAUUGACGUUACUCGCAGAAGAAGCACCGGCUAACUCCGUGCCAGCAGCCGCGGUAAUACGGAGGGUGCAAGCGUUAAUCGGAAUUAAUGGGCGUAAAGCGCACGCAGGCGGUUUGUUAAGUCAGAUGUGAAAUCCCCGCGCUGAACGUGGGAACUGCAUUUGAAACUGGCAAGCUAGAGUCUUGUAGAGGGGGGUAGAAUUCCAGGUGUAGCGGUGAAAUGCGUAGAGA